UGCCAGCAGCCGCGGUAACACGAACCGUCCAAACGUUAUUCGGUAUCACUGGGCUUAAAGCGUGCGUAGGCGGCUUGGCAAGUUGGGUGUGAAAUCCCUCGGCUCAACCGAGGAAUUGCGAAAAAAACUGCCAAGCUUGAGGGAGAUAGGGGUGAGCGGAACUAAUGGUGGAGCGGUGAAAUGCGUUGAUAUCAUUAGGAACACCUGUGGCGAAAGCGGCUCACUGGGUCUCUUCUGACGCUGAGGCACGAAAGCUAGGGGAGCGAACGGGAUUAGAUA
Molecule: ribosomal RNA, 279 nt
Filed under: uncultured bacterium
Lineage: Bacteria
Description: partial 16S ribosomal RNA
Rfam family: Bacterial small subunit ribosomal RNA
Source: RNAcentral